Long non-coding RNA from Solanum pennellii, 998 nucleotides. RefSeq lists it as uncharacterized. The transcript has 4 exons. Lineage: Eukaryota; Viridiplantae; Streptophyta; Magnoliopsida; Solanales; Solanaceae. The record is from RefSeq and is a predicted model, not a curated record.
CACCCUACAUCACAAUUUAUAGAAUUUUAAGGAAAUAACUUAAAAAACAUUUAUACGUGAUUGGUUUUCCUAACACUUUUACAAUUGUGAUUUCUCCUUUAUCAUAGCUCCAAAUUAGGUGAUUCAAAAUUAAUUGUUAUUAGAGAGAUUGGAGUUACACAGUAGAGUGAUCGGGAAGCGUCGAGUACUUCCUGUUUGAGUAUGACAGCUUCUGAGGUCAUACGAAAAGGAAUGGCUUUAGAAAGGUGAUUUGGUAUCCGUGUGAUCAACCUAAAGGUGGAAAGUAAAUGAAGGUUCCUUGAAGGUGAAGCUUGGGAAGUAGAUUCCUCUCAAGAUUUGUAUGUCUGAUGUACCGUGGUUUCACGGAAAUCUGUCCAAAGGAGAACGUGGAGAUUUUGAGCUGAAAUCGCAGAAGUGACCACCUACGGACCCCAUGACAGUCCGUCGUGACUGUGACGGUCCGUAGGGGUCAACCGUCGUGAGAAUAUAAUGGCUGCUGAAGGAAGUUGGGGAAUUCUGACCAAGUGUGGUACUACGCAAUCUCACGACCAAUCAUCAUAGUCACGAUGGUCCGUCGUGCACAUUCAUCAAGUCUAACAGAGAGUAGUCCCAGUACCCAACUUUAGAAGAUUCUAAGUGUCGUGGAAUGAAGCCCCUCGAUGGACUGUCGUGCUUGAAACGGUCCGUCACACCUAUCCGUCGAGGGUAAUAUAGAGUUGAUGAAGAAAGCAUCAAAGAUUUCUUCUAAGUAUGGAACGACGGAAGCCACAACGGUCUGUCAUGAAGGUCGUCGACUCGGAUACAUUUUUUGCAGAUUUUUCCUUAAAUAGAUUUCCCUCUUUCAUUAGGUUUUGUUUUAUUAUAAAUAGUUCGAAAAACCUCAUUUUGGGGUUAGACCUUUGGAUAUUUUUCAGUUUUAUUGUCUAAGUAUUGAACUCUAGAUUUUGGGGAUUUGAUAUUACUUUUACGGAAUCAAUUAUUGGUGUUUUGGUGUUUUA